Cavia porcellus (domestic guinea pig) is the source of this 114-nucleotide small nuclear RNA. Its record names the gene U2. It matches the Rfam family "U2 spliceosomal RNA". From Rfam's summary of the family: U2 is a small nuclear RNA (snRNA) component of the spliceosome (involved in pre-mRNA splicing). Complementary binding between U2 snRNA (in an area lying towards the 5' end but 3' to hairpin I) and the branchpoint sequence (BPS) of the intron results the bulging out of an unpaired adenosine, on the BPS, which initiates a nucleophilic attack at the intronic 5' splice site, thus starting the first of two transesterification reactions that mediate splicing. The record is from Ensembl. NCBI's taxonomy places the organism in Eukaryota, Metazoa, Chordata, Mammalia, Rodentia, Caviidae.
AUCAUUUCUCGGCCUUUUGGCUAAGAUCAAGUGUAGUAUCUGUUCUUAUCAGUUUAAUAUUUUGAUAAAAUUUGGGUAAAUUUUGUCCUCAUAUACUACCCUUGAAGACCAUUG